RNAcentral lists this ribosomal RNA (497 nucleotides) under uncultured bacterium. RNAcentral describes it as "partial 16S ribosomal RNA". It matches the Rfam family "Bacterial small subunit ribosomal RNA", at positions 28 to 507 of the family's 1533-position model. The record is from RNAcentral.
GAUGAACGCUGGCGGCGUGCCUAAUACAUGCAAGUCGAGCGAACAGACGAGGAGCUUGCUCCUCUGACGUUAGCGGCGGACGGGUGAGUAACACGUGGAUAACCUACCUAUAAGACUGGGAUAACUUCGGGAAACCGGAGCUAAUACCGGAUAAUAUAUUGAACCGCAUGGUUCAAUAGUGAAAGACGGUUUUGCUGUCACUUAUAGAUGGAUCCGCGCCGCAUUAGCUAGUUGGUAAGGUAACGGCUUACCAAGGCGACGAUGCGUAGCCGACCUGAGAGGGGGAUCGGCCAAACUGGAACUGAGACACGGUCCAGACUCCUAAGGGAGGCAGCAGUAGGGAAUCUUCCGCAAUGGGCGAAAGCCUGACGGAGCAACGCCGCGGGAGUGAUGAAGGUCUUCGGAUCGUAAAACUCUGUUAUUAGGGAAGAACAAAUGUGUAAGUAACUAUGCACGUCUUGACGGUACCUAAUCAGAAAGCCACGGCUAACUACGUG